Molecule: unclassified non-coding RNA, 378 nt
Filed under: plant metagenome
Description: partial contains 5.8S ribosomal RNA, internal transcribed spacer 2, and large subunit ribosomal RNA
Rfam family: 5.8S ribosomal RNA (bases 1-105)
Source: RNAcentral
GAAAUGCGAUAAGUAAUGUGAAUUGCAGAAUUCAGUGAAUCAUCGAAUCUUUGAACGCACCUUGCGCUCCUUGGUAUUCCUUGGAGCAUGCCUGUUUGAGUAUCAUGAAAUCUUCAAAGUAAAUCUUUUGUUAACUCAAUUGGUUUCUACUUUGGUAUUGGAGGUCUUUGCAGCUUCACACCUGCUCCUCUUUGUUCAUUAGCUGGAUCUCAGUGUUAUGCUUGGUUCCACUCGGCGUGAUAAGUUAUCUAUCUCUGAGCACACUGUAAAAGGUGGCCAAGGUAAAUGCAGAUGAACCGCUUCUAAUAGUCCAUUGACUUGGACAAUACUUUUAUGAUCUGAUCUCAAAUCAGGUAGGACUACCCGCUGAACUUAAGC